UCCGUAGGCGGGUAAUUAAGUCAGAGGUGAAAUCCCACAGCUUAACUGUGGAACUGCCUUAGAUACUGGUUAUCUCGAGUUUUAGUGAAGUAGAUAGAAUGUGUAGUGUAGCGGUGAAAUGCAUAGAUAUUACACAGAAUACCGAUUGCGAAGGCAGUCUACUAACUAACAACUGACGCUAAUGGACGAAAGCGUGGGGAGCGAACAGGAUUAGAUACCCUGGUAGUCC
RNAcentral lists this ribosomal RNA (229 nucleotides) under uncultured bacterium. Its description in RNAcentral is "partial 16S ribosomal RNA". It matches the Rfam family "Bacterial small subunit ribosomal RNA", at positions 568 to 796 of the family's 1533-position model. The record is from RNAcentral.